CCCUGGUAGUCCACGCCGUAAACGAUGUCGACUUGGAGGCUGUUUCCUUGAGAAGUGGCUUCCGGAGCUAACGCGUUAAGUCGACCGCCUGGGGAGUACGGCCGCAAGGUUAAAACUCAAAUGAAUUGACGGGGGCCCGCACAAGCGGUGGAGCAUGUGGUUUAAUUCGAUGCAACGCGAAGAACCUUACCUACUCUUGACAUCCACGGAAUUUGGCAGAGAUGCCUUAGUGCCUUCGGGAACCGUGAGACAGGUGCUGCAUGGCUGUCGUCAGCUCGUGUUGUGAAAUGUUGGGUUAAGUCCCGCAACGAGCGCAACCCUUAUCCUUUGUUGCCAGCGAUUCGGUCGGGAACUCAAAGGAGACUGCCGGUGAUAAACCGGAGGAAGGUGGGGAUGACGUCAAGUCAUCAUGGCCCUUACGAGUAGGGCUACACACGUGCUACAAUGGCGCAUACAAAGAGAAGCGACCUCGCGAGAGCAAGCGGACCUCAUAAAGUGCGUCGUAGUCCGGAUCGGAGUCUGCAACUCGACUCCGUGAAGUCGGAAUCGCUAGUAAUCGUGGAUCAGAAUGCCACGGUGAAUACGUUCCCGGGCCUUGUACACACCGCCCGUCACACCAUGGGAGUGGGUUGCAAAAGAAGUAGGUAGCUUAACCUUCGGGAGGGCGCUUACCACUUUGUGAUUCAUGACUGGGGUGAAGUCGUAACAAGGU
RNAcentral lists this ribosomal RNA (712 nucleotides) under uncultured bacterium. RNAcentral describes it as "bacterial SSU rRNA". It matches the Rfam family "Bacterial small subunit ribosomal RNA", at positions 785 to 1497 of the family's 1533-position model. The record is from RNAcentral.